CAAUAGCGUAUAUUAAAGUUGUUGCGGUUAAAAAGUUCGUAGUUGGAUUUCUGCCAAGGACGACCGGUCCGCCCUCUGGGUGAGUAUCUGGCUUGGCCUGGGCAUCUUCUUGGAGAACGUUGCUGCGCUUCACUGCGUGGUGCGGUAUCCAGGACUUUUACUUUGAGGAAAUUAGAGUGUUUCAAGCAGGCUUCCGCCUUGAAUACAUUAGCAUGGAAUAAUAAGAUAGGACCUCGGUUCUAUUUUGUUGGUUUCUAGAGCUGGGGUAAUGAUUAAUAGGGAUAGUUGGGGGCAUUCGUAUUUAACUGUCAGAGGUGAAAUUCUUGGAUUUGUUAAAGACGGGCUACUGCGAAAGCAUUUGCCAAGGAUGUUUUCAUUGA
This 380-nucleotide ribosomal RNA is filed under the name uncultured eukaryote. RNAcentral describes it as "partial 18S ribosomal RNA". It matches the Rfam family "Eukaryotic small subunit ribosomal RNA", at positions 592 to 976 of the family's 1831-position model. The record is from RNAcentral.